UCUCUGGCGGUCCAGUGGCUAGGACUCAGUGCUUUUACCCCUAAGGCCCAGGUUCAGUCCCUGGUCAGGGAA
Molecule: transfer RNA, 72 nt
Filed under: Bos taurus (domestic cattle)
Lineage: Eukaryota; Metazoa; Chordata; Mammalia; Artiodactyla; Bovidae
Also listed under: 4 other names
Rfam family: tRNA
About the family: Transfer RNA (tRNA) molecules are approximately 80 nucleotides in length.
Source: Rfam by way of RNAcentral